This is a small nuclear RNA of Lycium barbarum (goji berry), 106 nucleotides long. The record is from RefSeq and is a predicted model, not a curated record. Lineage: Eukaryota; Viridiplantae; Streptophyta; Magnoliopsida; Solanales; Solanaceae.
GUCUCUUGGGAGAUAUCCGAUAAAAUUAGAACGAUACCAAAAAUUAAGUUAGCAUAGCCUCUACGCAAAGAUAAUACGUACAACUCGAGAACUGGUCCACAUUUUC